This 3353-nucleotide long non-coding RNA is filed under the name Sus scrofa (pig). RNAcentral's name for it is "lncRNA (ENSSSCG00000052013.1)". The record is from RNAcentral. Lineage: Eukaryota; Metazoa; Chordata; Mammalia; Artiodactyla; Suidae.
CAGGGCUUUUCCAACAUUUUGCAACAUCUGGAGAGACAUCUCAUCUGUACUGCUCUCCGUAAUAUGCCCACAUUAUGGCCGCUAAACUUCUUUUAAUUCUUAGCAUGGCCUACACAGCCCUGAAUUGAGAGGCUCUAGCCCAGUUUUCAGCUCCAGCUUCUUCCUCAGUGCUCUCAUUCAGUAAGUUUUAGCCAUGGCAGGCUUCUCUCUUCUGAAACCAGCCAAGCUCCUUUCUGCAUCAGGACCUUUGCACAUGCAGUUCUUAUGCCUGAAAUACUCUCCCAAUGCUCCUAAGUCCAUCUAGAUCUGUAGGUCUAUAGUAAAUGUUACUGACUCAGGAGGCCUUCCUCUUCCCACUCCUAGACCAGACCAGACUGGAUUUUAUCCUUUACAUUGAUCACAAACUCCAGUUUCCCACCUAGAACUAAUUUAGAAUCAGUGUUGCCUUAAUAGGAUCAAAGACGAGGUUCGCCCUUUCCACUUCAUUUCAUUUGUGAAAGGAGUCCCCAGUUCUGUUUAUGUCUGUGAUUGAAAACAAUCACCAGCUACUGGGCCUGCCCACUCCAGUCCCGGUCCCUGCAGCCCUGCACAUCAGGUCCUGCCACCUUACCAUGACAAUGUCACUUCAACAAGCACAAAACUCAUAGAAAAACCACCUGCUUCUGCACAGUUUUGGACUUGGGGCUGUGGAAAUUCUCUAGAUUCCUUCCCAGUUCACAGAGUUUGUAACCAGGUUGCUGCCUACUGCAUUACAGUCUCGAAAUCUGAGCAACAAUCUCAACCAUGAAAUGCAAACUCAACAUAAUUCCCGGCUGGAGAUUGUGGGUUCUUCUCGAAAAUCUAUGGGCUCAGCUUCCCAGCUUUGCUGGGAGUCUGGCUAUAAAUUACAUUUAUAGGAAUGUUAUCACAUUAUUGAAAAGUAGGAAAGCCCUCCUGUUUUUGUAAUCUUGCUAUGAAUGAGCUUCUAUUUGCUGCCUCUCCCAUCCUCUUCCAGAACUUUCAAGCCCUUUAAUACCUCCUUCUAGAUCUUUCCCAUAGUCACCCCUUAAUUUAAGAAUAUGAAACAUGCUACAAAUGAAGUCACAUCCCUACCAGAUUAUUAUUCUGUUUUGAUAUCUGUCAGGAGCUAAUAGUUUUCUGGGCCAAGCAAAUGUAAAUAACAUGUGGAUUUGAUUUCUUGGACUAUUGCUAACAGGGAAACUGCUGCUUCCUUAUCAUUUUUAUAACAUCUCUAUGUCUUUCAUACAGUACUGCUUUCAAAUGCAUGAGAGCCCAACUGCUCUUCAAAUUUUUUUCUUUUUAUUUCAAUAUAAUUGAGAUAAUACAUAUUACAUUGUAAAUUUAAGUUAUAUGUGUGUUGAUUUGAUACAUUUAUACAUUAUACUAUGAUUACUAACACUAGUGUUAGCUAACACCUCUAUUCUGUCACAUAAUUAUCAUUUUUUUUGUAGUAAGACCGUUUAAGAUCUAGUCUCUUAGCAACUUUAACGCAUAUAGUACAGUUUUGUUGACCAUGAUGUGCAUUACAUCUCUAGGACAAAAUUAUUUACUAUUUGCAAAUUCAUAUCCUUAAACAUUUCCCCAGUAUCCACCCCCAGCCCCUGGUCACCAGCAUCCUAAUCUCUGUUUUAUGAGUUCAACUUUAGAUUCCACAUAGAAGUGAUAUGAUAGUCUUUAUCUUUCUCUGUCUGACUUAUCUCUCUUAGCAUAAUGCCCUCAAGAGGUCCAUCUAUGUUGUUGCAGAUGGAAGGAUUUCCUAUCUGGUGUGUAUCUAUAUCUGUUUCACUAGCACUAUGUAUCUGUAGAUCUCAUGUCUUCUUUCACCAUUCAUCCAUUGAUGGACACUUAAGUUGUUUCCAUAUCUCAGCUAUUAUAAAUAUUAUUGCAAUAAACAUGGUAGUGCAGAUAUCUUUUCAAUAAAAAUCCUGCUUUCAUUUUCUUUGGGCAUAUACCCAGAAGUGAGGUUGCUGGGUCAUAUGCUCUUCAAACUUUGCAAACUGUUUUGCUCUUUAAGAUCUGUGAGUUAUAAAAUAGUCCCCAAGACUGGACCCCCCUCCUUUCCCAAGUGGCUGUUGAACAUGCUUGACCUCCUUUGGACCCUCCACAUGGAGCUCUAGGGGCAGCGAAUAACUGGGAAAGGCCACAUACAGUGAUCCCACCUCAUCCUUAUUUACGUGGUAUGCCCAGGCCUCAGAACACCGGCAUCCUUCAUGGGGACCGCUGGAGCAGUCUUCCCAUGGUUUUUCUACUUCUGGUCUCCAUCCUAUAAUCCAGGUCUCCUCUCUUGCCAGAACAAACUGUCUGAGACUAAAUCUGACCUUGUCACUCCCUGUCUAAAAUCCUUCAGGGCAUCCUUUGUUUUUAGGAUAAAGUAGAGACCCUUACUUGGGAGACCAAAUGCUCCAGGGCCCAAUCCUGGAGUUUUACUUAGGUCUCUUCCAGCGGUUUAUAAUAAUUCCACUGCCAGGCUGGCAUUUCCCUACAAUGUUGCUGAUGUCUUUUCCUUUCUCUUCCAUAUUUUCUUACUUCCUUUCUCUACGUUAGUAACUUCACACUCAUCUUACAGGAUCCAAAUACAUGUAAAUGUGUAUAUACAGAUACCAGGGGCUCCCUAUAAGAGGCGAGAAAUGCAUCAAGGUGAGAAUGAGACCCUGUGAGUGGGCAGAACAGAGAAUCAGGAAAGAUCAGAGCUUCCCCAUUCACCAGUUCCUCCUGGGUAAUAUAGGGUGCAUCAGUUAGUGAAGGCAACAGUGAACAAAAUGAUGCAGAUUGGGAGGCUUAAAUGACAUAAAUUAAUUCUUCUCACAAUCCUGGAAGUUGGAAGUCUGAGAUCAAGAUGUUUGCAGGUCUAGUUCCUUCUGAGGUCUCUCCCCUUGGUUUGUAGACAGAGGUCUUCUUCCUGUAUCUUCACAUGAUUUUCCCUCUGUGCUGUCAGUGUCCAAAUGUCAUCUUAUGAUGAGGACAUCAGUUGUACUGGAUUAGGGCCUAUUCUAAUGACCUCAUUUUAACUCAUUUUAACCCUAUAAAGACCCUAUCUCCAAAGAAGGUUACAUUCUGAAAUAUGAGGGUUAGGACUUCAGCAUACAAAUUAAGGGGGUAGGAACACAUAAUGGAGCAGUGGGUGGGGGUGGGUGUCCUUCCUCUCUCUGGUCUCAAUUUAAUCUCUUCAUCUGAGUUCCUGUCCUGGCUCAAAGGGUUAAAGACCCAGUGUUGUCUCUGUGAAGAUGCAGGUCUAAUCCCUGGCCUUGCUCAGUGGGUUAAGGAUCAGGUGUUGCCAUGGCUGUGGUGUAAACCACAAGUGUAGCUCUUAUUUGACCCCUGGACUAGGAACUUCCAUAUGCCACAGACUCAGC